UCGUAACAAGGUUUCCGUAGGUGAACCUGCGGAAGGAUCAUUAUUGAUUUGACUAUACUUUUGUGGAUAUUUAAUUACAUUAAACUCAUCAUAUCAUUUUUAAUUAUAACUAUCAACAACGGAUCUCUUGGCUCUCACAUCGAUGAAGAACGCAGCGAACCGCGAUAUUUUUUGUGACUUGCAGAUGUGAAUCAUCAAUCUUUGAACGCACAUUGCGCGGUGUGGUAUUCCGCACCGCACGGAUGGAAGAGCGUGUUCCCUUUGGGAUCGCAUUGCUUUCUUGAAAUGAAUCUAUUACUUCCAAUAUACAUCAUUUCACCUCUUUCAUCCGAGAUUACCCGCUGAACUUAAGCAUAUCA
Molecule: unclassified non-coding RNA, 359 nt
Filed under: Yarrowia deformans
Lineage: Eukaryota; Fungi; Ascomycota; Dipodascomycetes; Dipodascales
Description: sequence contains 18S rRNA gene, ITS1, 5.8S rRNA gene, ITS2, 28S rRNA gene
Rfam family: 5.8S ribosomal RNA (bases 108-256)
Source: RNAcentral